This is a long non-coding RNA of Macrosteles quadrilineatus (aster leafhopper), 182 nucleotides long. RefSeq lists it as uncharacterized. Lineage: Eukaryota; Metazoa; Arthropoda; Insecta; Hemiptera; Cicadellidae. The record is from RefSeq and is a predicted model, not a curated record. The transcript has 3 exons.
AAUUGUUCCACAAGAUCUAAAAUUAUCAAGAAAGAGUUCAAAAUUUAAGUUAUUAUAGCCAUCUUGGAGUUUUAUCUUCAACUGAUAGUGUGAUUCAAAAUUCAGAUAAUAUUCACUUGACAAAAUGCAGGACAGAUCUAGCGAGUGGGUAACUCCAGUAGAGAACACUUCAAACGUUGCCA